AUAAAUGUGUUGAAGAGAAGAGUAGUUAACUAAAAGCUUCAAGCGAAUCCUAGAUGGUGUGAGAGGAUAAGCGGAUAGUUAGUGAAAAGAACCUCAGAGCAUAUAGGUCGAUACAAGGAGACCUAUACGGGAACUCCCGUUACAGAGUUAGAGUAUGGUUGUACUUGAAGAGGUUUAUCUUGUGAGAGAUAGAUGAAUAUGGGUGGUAUCACGAGCUUUCGUCCCUUUU
This 229-nucleotide non-coding RNA is filed under the name Anaerococcus prevotii. RNAcentral's name for it is "T-box sequence". It matches the Rfam family "T-box leader". Rfam says of the family: Uncharged tRNA acts as the effector for transcription antitermination of genes in the T-box leader family. T-boxes are found upstream of many aminoacyl-tRNA synthetase genes and some amino acid biosynthetic genes usually in Gram-positive bacteria. Lineage: Bacteria; Bacillati; Bacillota; Tissierellia; Tissierellales; Peptoniphilaceae. The record is from RNAcentral.